UACGAAGGGUGCAAGCGUUACUCGGAAUUACUGGGCGUAAAGCGUGCGUAGGUGGUGAGUUAAGUCCGUCGGUCAAAUGCCGGGGCUCAACCCCGAGCGUGCCGAGGAUACUGGAGGGCUGGAGACACGUAGAGGCAAGCGGAAUUCCGGGUGUAGCGGUGGAAUGCGUAGAGAUCCGGAAGAACACCGGAGGCGAAGGCGGCUUGCUGGGCGUGAUCUGACGCUGAGGCGCGAAAGCGUGGGGAGCGAACAGG
RNAcentral lists this ribosomal RNA (254 nucleotides) under uncultured bacterium. RNAcentral describes it as "partial 16S ribosomal RNA". It matches the Rfam family "Bacterial small subunit ribosomal RNA", at positions 524 to 776 of the family's 1533-position model. The record is from RNAcentral.